Harmonia axyridis is the source of this 406-nucleotide long non-coding RNA. RefSeq lists it as uncharacterized. Lineage: Eukaryota; Metazoa; Arthropoda; Insecta; Coleoptera; Coccinellidae. The transcript is spliced from 3 exons. The record is from RefSeq and is a predicted model, not a curated record.
CUGAUCGGUCUACGGAAGUUUUGAUUGUGUUAUAAGUGUUAGAUAGUUAGAUACUGAAUACAUACUGCAAAAAGCAGAAUUUAAUUAGGAAUUAGGGAUACAUGGAGUGUCUGAUUGGAACAUUUCAAGAAUAUGGAAAUUGUUCAUGAACAAUUGGGAGUUACGUUAUCAUUUGCUGAUGAAAAUGCAAAUCAAUAGAUAUCUAUCGAUAUGAGUGAGAUACAAUUUUGGAAUAAUUCUUCAGGACCAGAUCUCAAGUGAUAUUGGACAAAUCAUUCAAGAACAGAAAAAAAGGAGCAACACAGAGGAAUGAAACCGCCAAGCCCAACUUGUUUUUGGUAUCUAUUAUAGCCGAAAAGUUUCCAAAUUGUUGUAUAGAUUUAGAUGAACUUUUAAGAAUGUAUCU